ACACCCAUUUGAGCUUUGGAUCUUCAAACCAUUAAGGUUUAAGUAUAAAAGGGGUUUAUUGCGUAUAUAAGCUAUCCCAUAAUUUUUGGAUAAUUAUUUGGAGUUGAAAAAGUAUUUUAUUUAAAUGGAUAUAUAGCCCUAAAGGCAUUUAUAGGGCAAAUGUAUUUUUAUAUAUUUUAUUUUGAGGAAAAACUACUUCCAAAAGUUGUAUCAUGGUAGAACAUGAUUUUACAAAUUUCUGGGAUUUAUUUGGACCAAUUUGGAGUUCAAAAUCAAAAGAUAUCAAAAGAAUAAGAAAAACAGAAAAAGAAAAGGGUAAAAGAAAAAAAAAGGAGCAAACGGACCGGCCCGGCCGAAUUGGGCCGAACUGGCCCAACUCCUCGCGCGCGCCCGCAGCCC
Molecule: long non-coding RNA, 399 nt
Filed under: Brachypodium distachyon (stiff brome)
Lineage: Eukaryota; Viridiplantae; Streptophyta; Magnoliopsida; Poales; Poaceae
Description: long non-coding RNA (BDIS_LNC000980)
Source: RNAcentral